UCAAAUCAUCAUGCCCCUUAUCGUUCUGGGCUACACACGUGCUACAAUGGCCGGUACAGACGGACGCAAAGCCGCGAGGGUGGAGCAAAUACCUAAAAAGCCGGUCUCAGUUCGGAUUGCAGGCUGCAAUUCGCCUGCAUGAAGUCGGAAUCGCUAGUAAUCGCAGGUCAGCAUACUGCGGUGAAUACGUUCCCGGGCCUU
This 201-nucleotide ribosomal RNA is filed under the name uncultured Bacillus sp. RNAcentral describes it as "partial 16S ribosomal RNA". It matches the Rfam family "Bacterial small subunit ribosomal RNA", at positions 1185 to 1382 of the family's 1533-position model. The record is from RNAcentral. Lineage: Bacteria; Bacillati; Bacillota; Bacilli; Caryophanales; Bacillaceae.